This 246-nucleotide ribosomal RNA is filed under the name Klebsiella variicola. RNAcentral describes it as "partial 16S ribosomal RNA". It matches the Rfam family "Bacterial small subunit ribosomal RNA", at positions 1298 to 1533 of the family's 1533-position model. The record is from RNAcentral. Lineage: Bacteria; Pseudomonadati; Pseudomonadota; Gammaproteobacteria; Enterobacterales; Enterobacteriaceae.
UUGGAGUCUGCAACUCGACUCCAUGAAGUCGGAAUCGCUAGUAAUCGUAGAUCAGAAUGCUACGGUGAAUACGUUCCCGGGCCUUGUACACACCGCCCGUCACACCAUGGGAGUGGGUUGCAAAAGAAGUAGGUAGCUUAACCUUCGGGAGGGCGCUUACCACUUUGUGAUUCAUGACUGGGGUGAAGUCGUAACAAGGUAACCGUAGGGGAACCUGCGGUUGGAUCACCUCCUUACCUUAAAGAA